Molecule: ribosomal RNA, 1127 nt
Filed under: Leifsonia sp.
Lineage: Bacteria; Bacillati; Actinomycetota; Actinomycetes; Micrococcales; Microbacteriaceae
Description: bacterial SSU rRNA
Rfam family: Bacterial small subunit ribosomal RNA
Source: RNAcentral
GCCACACUGGGACUGAGACACGGCCCAGACUCCUACGGGAGGCAGCAGUGGGGAAUAUUGCACAAUGGGCGCAAGCCUGAUGCAGCAACGCCGCGUGAGGGAUGACGGCCUUCGGGUUGUAAACCUCUUUUAGUAGGGAAGAAGCGAAAGUGACGGUACCUGCAGAAAAAGCACCGGCUAACUACGUGCCAGCAGCCGCGGUAAUACGUAGGGUGCGAGCGUUGUCCGGAAUUAUUGGGCGUAAAGAGCUCGUAGGCGGUCUGUCGCGUCUGCUGUGAAAACCCGAGGCUCAACCUCGGGCCUGCAGUGGGUACGGGCAGACUAGAGUGCGGUAGGGGAGAAUGGAAUUCCUGGUGUAGCGGUGGAAUGCGCAGAUAUCAGGAGGAACACCGAUGGCGAAGGCAGUUCUCUGGGCCGUAACUGACGCUGAGGAGCGAAAGCGUGGGGAGCGAACAGGAUUAGAUACCCUGGUAGUCCACGCCGUAAACGUUGGGCGCUAGAUGUGGGGACCAUUCCACGGUUUCCGUGUCGCAGCUAACGCAUUAAGCGCCCCGCCUGGGGAGUACGGCCGCAAGGCUAAAACUCAAAGGAAUUGACGGGGGCCCGCACAAGCGGCGGAGCAUGCGGAUUAAUUCGAUGCAACGCGAAGAACCUUACCAAGGCUUGACAUACACGAGAACGCCCUAGAAAUAGGGAACUCUUUGGACACUCGUGAACAGGUGGUGCAUGGUUGUCGUCAGCUCGUGUCGUGAGAUGUUGGGUUAAGUCCCGCAACGAGCGCAACCCUCGUUCUAUGUUGCCAGCGCGUAAUGGCGGGAACUCAUAGGAGACUGCCGGGGUCAACUCGGAGGAAGGUGGGGAUGACGUCAAAUCAUCAUGCCCCUUAUGUCUUGGGCUUCACGCAUGCUACAAUGGCCGGUACAAAGGGCUGCAAUACCGUAAGGUGGAGCGAAUCCCAAAAAGCCGGUCUCAGUUCGGAUUGAGGUCUGCAACUCGACCUCAUGAAGUCGGAGUCGCUAGUAAUCGCAGAUCAGCAACGCUGCGGUGAAUACGUUCCCGGGCCUUGUACACACCGCCCGUCAAGUCAUGAAAGUCGGUAACACCCGAAGCCGGUGGCCCAACCCUUG